UGGGGAAUUUUGGACAAUGGGCGCAAGCCUGAUCCAGCCAUUCCGCGUGAGUGAAGAAGGCCUUCGGGUUGUAAACCGCUUUCAGCAGGGAAGAAGCGAAAGUGACGGUACCUGCAAAAGAAGCCCCGGCUAACUUCGUGCCAGCAGCCGCGGUAAUACGAAGGGGGCUAGCGUUGCUCGGAAUUACUGGGCGUAAAGGGAGCGUAGGCGGAUAGUUUAGUCAGAGGUGAAAGCCCAGGGCUCAACCUUGGAAAUGCCUUUGAUACUGGCUAUCUUGAGUAUGGGAGAGGUAAGCGGAAUUCCGAGUGUAGAGGUGAAAUUCGUAGAUAUUCGGAAGAACACCAGUGGCGAAGGCGGCUUACUGGCCCAUUACUGACGCUGAGGCUCGAAAGCGUGGGGAGCAAACAGG
This 409-nucleotide ribosomal RNA is filed under the name uncultured bacterium. RNAcentral's name for it is "bacterial SSU rRNA". It matches the Rfam family "Bacterial small subunit ribosomal RNA", at positions 355 to 776 of the family's 1533-position model. The record is from RNAcentral.